This 555-nucleotide ribosomal RNA is filed under the name uncultured bacterium. Its description in RNAcentral is "bacterial SSU rRNA". It matches the Rfam family "Archaeal small subunit ribosomal RNA", at positions 728 to 1281 of the family's 1478-position model. The record is from RNAcentral.
AAUAAAUACCCCGGUAGUCCUAGCCGUAAACGAUACUCGCUAGGUGUCGGCCACGGUGCGACCGUUGUCGGUGCCGUAGGGAAGCCGUGAAGCGAGCCACCUGGGAAGUACGGCCGCAAGGCUGAAACUUAAAGGAAUUGGCGGGGGAGCACCACAACGGGUGGAGCUUGCGGUUUAAUUGGAUUCAACGCCGGAAAUCUUACCGGGACCGACAGCAAUAUGAAGGCCAGGCUGAAGACUUUGCCGGAUUAGCUGAGAGGUGGUGCAUGGCCGUCGUCAGUUCGUACUGUGAAGCAUCCUGUUAAGUCAGGCAACGAGCGAGACCCACGCCCACAGUUGCCAGCGUACUCUCUGGAGUGACGGGUACACUGUGGGGACCGCCGCUGCUAAAGCGGAGGAAGGAAUGGGCAACGGUAGGUCAGUAUGCCCCGAAUAUCCCGGGGCUACACGCGAGCUACAAUGGUUGGUACAAUGGGUAUCUACCCCGAAAGGGGACGGGAAUCUCCUAAAACCAAUCUUAGUUCGGAUUGAGGGCUGCAACUCGCCCUCAUGAAG